AUUCUUUCUUGAGAAGGAAUUUAUAUUCUCUGGCAAACACAGAACAGAGGUUUGUUAGGAGAGCCUAUCCAUUGAAAAUUGUGUAAAUACUGUCUACUUACAUUUCAUUUGCAAUAUGCCAUCUUGAACUGGGAUUAUAGCAAUGAAGUGCUGGAAGGGCAUUCUUUACAGAGUGAAUAGACUCUGACUUCUACCAUAUUUAGAAAAUUACAUGUGGAAUAUAUUUAUGAUGUAUAUCAAUUGAUAUGCAGCCUACUUUGGGAUCAUCUAGAAUUUUCAAUUUUAAAUGUUAUCACACUAGGAAUAAUUAAUGUUAAAUCACUAACUUUCUAGUUUAAAGCAGAAACAUCUUUAACCAUGUUUAUUGUAAUUUUAAUUAAGUGAUCAACUGUGACAGUUAAAUGUAUACAUUCAGGGACAACAAAUUUUUAGAGUCUAUCUGAAAACAUAUGAGACAUAGAGACAAAUGACCUAAAUCCUAAAAUCAAGCCAUUCGACUCACAGGGAAAAAAAGACAAAAAGAUACUCUCAGAGCCAUUAAAAAUGGUGGCUUAUAUGAAUUUCUU
This 566-nucleotide long non-coding RNA is filed under the name Bos taurus (domestic cattle). RNAcentral's name for it is "long non-coding RNA NONBTAT000185". Lineage: Eukaryota; Metazoa; Chordata; Mammalia; Artiodactyla; Bovidae. The record is from RNAcentral.